GGAACGUGAAAAGUGACAAGGAAGAUAACAUUUCUUGGUUGCAAAUGAUCCUAAAAUUGAGUGACAAUGAAUGAAAAUUAACCCAAGUUAAUCUAGUCAAAAUUGAGAAAAUUUCAAGAAAAAAAAAAUUUUAAGUUGAACACUGGUACUGAAAUUAAGUGACUACAAGGACAUUUAGCUAUUGGAGUAAACAUGGCUCAAAACACCCCCAUCCCUCUAGUGAACAUAUAUUCUUGUUUGAAUUGGAAAAAUUCCUGGCACGUCUUGCCAACCCAGGACAGGAUGGCAAAACAACUCUUGCGUAACAAUCGUUUUCAUUUAAGCAUAUCCACAAUUCUAGACGCAUAUUACAAUGUUGUGGGUGUCAUCAAUUGGAUAUAAUUAGCUUUCCCUUUUCAGAAAGUAGAAAAAGAAUAAUCCAAAUGGAAGCAAAAUUCGAAUAUGGUUAUGCUGUUCUUCUUUUCUUUUGUAUUGACACUGUAGAAUGAUGAAAAUUUCUAUGACACGGCCAUUAGCCCAUAAAGAAAUCGUCUAACAUGCAGCCAGUAGCCAUAGCAUAAUUAGAGAUGAUAUUGCAAUAGUUACCCAGCUCAAAAAGGCCAAUGCAACUGACAUUUGGUACUUUUCGCAUUCCCUCAAAUAACUACAGUGUCCAACAUCAUGAAACAGGAGCACUGUGAUGCCUGCCGAGGCAGAAGCUGCUGCUAGAGACAACGUUGCUGUUACCUGUUAAAAUGAUAACAAUAUUAACACACAACUCUUUCCGAUUAGUGACUCAAAAAUGAUUUGAGAACAGUAGAAGGUUUUACGGAGGCUGACCCAAUCUCCCACUACGAAAAGGCUGACUAAAAUAGAAUUGUGGAGAACCUUCUUCCGGACCAAGGCAUAUGCAUCUAAUAAUGCAAGUCCAAAGCUCCAUAUGACUUGCAAACCCAUUGAAGCUAUAAGAUAGCAGAAAGCAGUGAAAUUGAAGAAGUUGGAAGUGGUGGCCAUGGCAGUAAUUGAGCCCACUGCAAAAAUACACUGCGAAAUCCUCAAAGCAAGAGCAGUCAAUGUUCCCGGAGUCCCAGCAAAAUCCUUCAUUUUUUUUUUUUUUUCUGUUUCUUCCCCUUCUCUUUUUUU
RNAcentral lists this unclassified non-coding RNA (1122 nucleotides) under Hevea brasiliensis (rubber tree). The record is from RNAcentral. Lineage: Eukaryota; Viridiplantae; Streptophyta; Magnoliopsida; Malpighiales; Euphorbiaceae.